RNAcentral lists this long non-coding RNA (713 nucleotides) under Mustela putorius furo (domestic ferret). Its description in RNAcentral is "lncRNA (ENSMPUG00000026886.1)". Lineage: Eukaryota; Metazoa; Chordata; Mammalia; Carnivora; Mustelidae. The record is from RNAcentral.
GGAGCACCCCCUCACCCCGUCCCCCUCUCCCCGGUCAGCAGGGCUUAUCCCUUUACUGACAAAUCUAGUGACCAAAGAGUGAGGACCCCAAACAGCCAGCGGUCUAUCCCUCGUCCACGCAAGCGGCCCGGUCACAGCCAAGUCCAGAGGGACCUGAGCGCCUUACACAUUUUCCGUGCCAGACACACACCCUUGGCACGCCCACUGGUGCUGCUCACGAUGAUCCUCCCAGUCGCGCCGGAGACGGCGAGCCCGGCAGUCAUUGAAGACCAUUGCCCUAGCACUCCUGACCCACCUGCCACGCUCUCUGAGUUAGCUUCCUGCAGAACUGUGGCUUCCCCCUCUGUGAAACGACCCACAGACGGUGAACGUACUCACCAGCAAACCCAAGUAUCUGGUUGGUUUGCCAGCAGUUGCAUUUUUCAUGAAUGGCAGCCCCAGGAGAGCAGAGAUUUGUCAGUUUUGUGCACAGACCUGUCCCCCAGAGCCCGGAGCAGUGGACGCUGUGGAAACUCUGCGGGCAAAUACUUCCUGAAGGAAUGAAGCAGCACAUUCUGUGGCCGAUUGCCUUAUCUAGCUGAAUCCCGCGCCUCAGAAGUGGCUACCCAUUGAUUUCCACCCUGCUUUGAGGGCCACGAGCCUACAAGUGUAUUGACAUUUUCAGAAGAUCCCCCCCCCCCCAUCUAUGAGGUGGUUUCGCAUAAAGCCCAAAA